CGAGCACGCGCGUGUGGCAUAUCAAUAAGCGGAGGAAAAGAAACUAACAAGGAUUCCCCUAGUAACGGCGAGUGAAGCGGGAAGAGCUCAAAUUUGAAAUCUUCAAGGGUUUCCCUUGACGAAUUGUAGUUUAAAGAAGUGUUUUCUGUUAGAGAGGUGGUAAAAGUUCUUUGGAAUAGGACAUCAUAGAGGGUGAGAAUCCCGUAUUUGAUCACUUUCUACUAACGUUGUGAUACACUUUCAACGAGUCGGAUUGUUUGGGAAUGCAGUCCAAAAUGGGUGGUAAAUUUCAUCUAAAGCUAAAUAUUGGCGAGAGGCCGAUAGCGAACAAGUACCGUGAGGGAAAGAUGAAAAGAACUUUGAAAAGAGAGUUAAACAGUACGUGAAAUUGUCAAAAGGGAAGCGUUUGACACCAGUGUUGUUUUUCCGAAAAUCAAUUACGAAUGUUUUAUUUUUGAGGAGUUAUGACUUCAUCGGCUUGCUCCUUUCUUUAUGAAACUUUCUUAAUGCACUUUUCGGUUAACAAGUCAACAUCAAUUUCUUUUGUUGUAAAAGGGUAUGAGGAAGGUGGCUUUCUUUUCGGAGAAAGUGUUUAUAGCCUUGUACCUCUGCAAUCGGAGAGAUUGAGGUCUGCAGCGUAGAUCCUUCGGGGUUAGGUACAUUUGUGCUAAGUUAUAGGCUUUUCAUAGACAACUUGUUGACUAUGUUUAGUCUUGUAGCUUACUCGCUUAUGCUAUUUUACCUACGCUUAGGAUGUUGAUGUGAUACUGCGAGCA
This 776-nucleotide ribosomal RNA is filed under the name uncultured Neocallimastigales. RNAcentral describes it as "partial large subunit ribosomal RNA". It matches the Rfam family "Eukaryotic large subunit ribosomal RNA", at positions 19 to 646 of the family's 3401-position model. Lineage: Eukaryota; Fungi; Neocallimastigomycota; Neocallimastigomycetes; Neocallimastigales. The record is from RNAcentral.